CCCCUUUGGGGGUACUCGAGUGGCGAACGGGUGAGUAACACGUGAGUAACCUGCCCUCGACUUCGGGAUAACUUCAGGAAACUGGGGCUAAUACCGGAUAGGAAUCCUUGCUGCAUGGUGGGGGUUGGAAAGCUUCGGCGGUUUUGGAUGGACUCGCGGCUUAUCAGCUUGUUGGUGGGGUAGUGGCUUACCAAGGCUUUGGGACGGGUAGCCGGCCUGAGAGGGCGACCGGCCACAUUGGGACUGAGAUACGGCCCAG
This 259-nucleotide ribosomal RNA is filed under the name uncultured Actinomycetales bacterium. Its description in RNAcentral is "partial 16S ribosomal RNA". It matches the Rfam family "Bacterial small subunit ribosomal RNA", at positions 75 to 334 of the family's 1533-position model. Lineage: Bacteria; Bacillati; Actinomycetota; Actinomycetes; Actinomycetales. The record is from RNAcentral.